Molecule: ribosomal RNA, 406 nt
Filed under: uncultured bacterium
Lineage: Bacteria
Description: partial 16S ribosomal RNA
Rfam family: Bacterial small subunit ribosomal RNA
Source: RNAcentral
AUUGAACGCUGGCGGCAGGCCUAACACAUGCAAGUCGAGCGAGCGGCGGACGGGUGAGUAAUGUAUGGGGAACUGCCUGAUGGAGGGGGAUAACUACUGGAAAAGGUAGCUAAUACCGCAUACUAUCGGAUGAACCCAGAUGGGAUUAGCUAGUAGGUGGGGUAAAGGCUCACCUAGGCGACGAUCCCUAGCUGGUCUGAGAGGAUGAUCAGCCACACUGGGACUGAGACACGGUCCAGACUCCUACGGGAGGCAGCAGUGGGGAAUAUUGCACAAUGGGCGCAAGCCUGAUGCAGCCAUGCCGCGUGUAUGAAGAAGGCCUUAGGGUUGUAAAGUACUUUCAGCGAGGAGGCGUUACUCGCAGAAGAAGCACCGGCUAACUCCGUGCCAGCAGCCGCGGUAAUAC